GAUGAACGCUGGCGGCGUGCCUAAUACAUGCAAGUCGAGCGAACGUACGAGAAGCUUGCUUCUCUGAUGUUAGCGGCUGACGGGUGAGUAACACGUGGAUAACCUACCUAUAAGACUGGGAUAACUUCGGGAAACCGGAGCUAAUACCGGAUAAUAUUUUGAACCGCAUGGUUCAAAAGUGAAAGACGGUCUUUCUGUCACUUAUAGAUGGAUCCGCGCUGCAUUAUCUAGUUGGUACGGUAACGGCUUACCAAGGCAACGAUGCAUAGCCGACCUGAGAGGGUGAUCGGCAACACUGGAACUGAGACAAGGUCCAGACUCCUACGGGAGGCAGCAGUAGGGAAUCUUCCGCAAUGGGCGAAAGCCUGACGGAGAAACGCCGCGUGAGUGAUGAAGGUCUUCGGAUCGUAAAACUCUGUUAUUAGGGAAGAACAUAUGUGUAAGUAACUGUGCACAUCUUGACGGUACCUAAUCAGAAAGCCACGGCUAACUACGUG
This 497-nucleotide ribosomal RNA is filed under the name uncultured bacterium. RNAcentral describes it as "partial 16S ribosomal RNA". It matches the Rfam family "Bacterial small subunit ribosomal RNA", at positions 28 to 507 of the family's 1533-position model. The record is from RNAcentral.